Molecule: ribosomal RNA, 838 nt
Filed under: uncultured bacterium
Lineage: Bacteria
Description: bacterial SSU rRNA
Rfam family: Bacterial small subunit ribosomal RNA
Source: RNAcentral
UACGACGGAUGCAAGCGUUAUCCGGAAUUAUUGGGCGUAAAGCGUUUGUAGGCGGGCGAGUGUGUUUAAUGUUAAAUCUUAAAGCUCAACUUUGAAAUUGCGUUAAAAACUGCUUGUCUUGAGUAUGGUAGGGGUAAAGGGAAUUCCCAGUGUAGCGGUGAAAUGCGUAGAUAUUGGGAAGAACACUAAACAGCGAAGGCACUUUACUAGGCUAAUACUGACGCUGAGAAACGAAAGGUAAGGUAGCGAAACGGAUUAGAUACCCGUGUAGUCUUACCCGUAAACUAUGGACACUAAACGGUAAAUUUUUAAUUUACUGUUAAAGCUAACGCGUUAAGUGUCCCGCCUGGGGAGUAUGCUUGCAAAAGUGAAACUCAAAGGAAUUGACGGGGGCCCGCACAAGCGGUGGAGCAUGUGGUUUAAUUCGACGGUACACGAAGAACCUUACCAGGAUUUGACAUGCUAGAUAGUUGCUUGAAAGAGUAACGUGCCGUAAGGAAUCUAGACACAGGUGGUGCAUGGCUGUCGUCAGUUCGUGUUGUGAAAUGUUGGGUUAAGUCCCGCAACGAACGCAACCCUUGUCUUUAGUUAUUUUCUAAAGAGACUGCCUGUAAUAAACAGGAGGAAGGUAAGGAUGAGGUCAAGUCAUCAUGCCCCUUAUGUCCUGGGCUACACACGUGCUACAAUGGGAAAGACAAUGAGCUGCAAAUCUGUAAAUUUAAGCAAAUCUCUUAAACUUUCUCGUAGUUCGGAUUGUGGGCUGCAACUCGCCCACAUGAAGUUGGAAUCGCUAGUAAUCGCCAGUCAGCUAUAUGGCGGUGAAUCCGUUCCCGGGCCU